CAGUAGCCGCGGUAAUACGAAGGGGGCAAGCGUUGUUCGGAAUUAUUGGGCGUAAAGGGCUCGCAGGCGGUUUCUUAAGUCUGAUGUGAAAGCCCCCGGCUCAACCGGGGAGGGUCAUUGGAAACUGGGAAACUUGAGUGCAGAAGAGGAGAGUGGAAUUCCACGUGUAGCGGUGAAAUGCGUAGAGAUGUGGAGGAACACCAGUGGCGAAGGCGACUCUCUGGUCUGUAACUGACGCUGAGGAGCGAAAGCGUGGGGAGCGAACAGGAUUAGAUACCCCGGUAGUCCCUGUCUCUUAUAC
This 301-nucleotide ribosomal RNA is filed under the name uncultured bacterium. RNAcentral's name for it is "partial 16S ribosomal RNA". It matches the Rfam family "Bacterial small subunit ribosomal RNA", at positions 509 to 807 of the family's 1533-position model. The record is from RNAcentral.